GGCUUGGUAUGGCUUGAAAACUGUUGUAAUUAAUUUUUAAAGUGACAAAAUCAUUUUGAAAGGAGACUUAAAGACUGUGGUAUCUUGGAUAAAUGGUCAUGAUUCUUCUCAACAUCCAGCACUUCGAAAUAUAAGGGCUCUUUAUGCUACAGUACCUAAUUUCUUUUGUCACCAUAUUAUGCAAGAAGUAAACCAAGUUGCUGAUUUUCUAGCAAACAAUGCAAGUGACAAGCGCCAUGAAGCAGUUUGGAAUAAUAGUUUUCCCAUU
This 268-nucleotide long non-coding RNA is filed under the name Elaeis guineensis (African oil palm). RNAcentral's name for it is "long non-coding RNA (EGUI_LNC069956)". The record is from RNAcentral. Lineage: Eukaryota; Viridiplantae; Streptophyta; Magnoliopsida; Arecales; Arecaceae.